GGCAGACUGCUCAGUAACACGUGGAUAACCUAACCUUAGGUGGAAGAUAACCUCGGGAAACUGAGAAUAAUAUUCCAUAGAUCUAGGAUGCUGGAAUGCAUCCAGAUUGAAAGUUCCGACGCCUAAGGAUGGGUCUGCGGACUAUCAGGUUGUAGUCAGGGUAAAGACCUGACUAGCCUACGACGGAUAUGGGUUGAGAGAGCAAUAGCCCAGAGACGAUGUCUGAGACACGGUAUCGGGCCCUACGGGGCGCAGCAGGCGCGAAAUCUUCACAAUGUGCGAAAGCACGAUGAGGGGAUCCCAAGUGCUGGCACGUAAGUGUCAGCUGUUUCUUAGUCUAAAAAACUGAGAGAGUAAGGGCUGGGUAAGACGGGUGCCAGCCGCCGCGGUAAUACCUGCAGCUCAAGUGGUGGCCGCUAUUAUUGGGCCUAAAACGUCCGUAGCCUGUUUAGUAAAUGCUUGGGUAAAUUGUGUAGCUUAACUAUACGAAUACCGGGUAGACAGCUAAACUUGGGACCGGGAGAGGCUAGAGGUACUUCUAGGGUAGAGGUGAAAUUCUGUAAUCCUAGGGGGACCACCAGUGGCGAAGGCGUCUAGCUAGAACGGGUCCGACGGUGAGGGACGAAAGCUGGGGGAGCGAACCGGAUUAGAUACCCGGGUAGUCC
Molecule: ribosomal RNA, 665 nt
Filed under: uncultured archaeon
Lineage: Archaea
Description: bacterial SSU rRNA
Rfam family: Archaeal small subunit ribosomal RNA
Source: RNAcentral